UACAGAGGUGGCAAGCGUUGCUCGGUAUCACUGGGCUUAAAGGGCGCGUAGGCGGUGCGGCACGGUUCGGGUGAAAUCCCUCGGCUCAACCGAGGAAUGGCCUGGGCAACGACCGCGCUUGACGGCAUCAGGGGGAGAUGGAACUCUCGGUGGAGCGGUGAAAUGCGUAGAUAUCGAGAGGAACGCCGGUGGCGAAAGCGAUCUCCUGGGGUGCCUGUGACGCUGAGGCGCGAAAGCUAGGGGAGCAAACGGG
This 253-nucleotide ribosomal RNA is filed under the name uncultured bacterium. RNAcentral's name for it is "partial 16S ribosomal RNA". It matches the Rfam family "Bacterial small subunit ribosomal RNA", at positions 524 to 776 of the family's 1533-position model. The record is from RNAcentral.